AGAUUAAGUUAUUAAGGGCGCACGGUGGAUGCCUUGGCACUAGAAGCCGAUGAAGGACGUUACUAACGACGAUAUGCUUUGGGGAGCUGUAAGUAAGCUUUGAUCCAGAGAUUUCCGAAUGGGGAAACCCAGCAUGAGUUAUGUCAUGUUAUCGAUAUGUGAAUACAUAGCAUAUCAGAAGGCACACCCGGAGAACUGAAACAUCUUAGUACCCGGAGGAAGAGAAAGAAAAUUCGAUUCCCUUAGUAGCGGCGAGCGAAACGGGAAGAGCCCAAACCAACAAGCUUGCUUGUUGGGGUUGUAGGACACUCUAUACGGAGUUACAAAGGACGACAUUAGACGAAUCAUCUGGAAAGAUGAAUCAAAGAAGGUAAUAAUCCUGUAGUCGAAAAUGUUGUCUCUCUUGAGUGGAUCCUGAGUACGACGGAGCACGUGAAAUUCCGUCGGAAUCUGGGAGGACCAUCUCCUAAGGCUAAAUACUCUCUAGUGACCGAUAGUGAACCAGUACCGUGAGGGAAAGGUGAAAAGCCCCCCGGAAGGGGAGUGAAAUAGAACCUGAAACCGUGUGCUUACAAGUAGUCAGAGCCCGUUAAUGGGUGAUGGCGUGCCUUUUGUAGAAUGAACCGGCGAGUUACGAUUUGAUGCAAGGUUAAGCAGUAAAUGUGGAGCCGUAGCGAAAGCGAGUCUGAAUAGGGCGUUUAGUAUUUGGUCGUAGACCCGAAACCAGGUGAUCUACCCUUGGUCAGGUUGAAGUUCA
RNAcentral lists this ribosomal RNA (757 nucleotides) under Staphylococcus aureus. RNAcentral describes it as "partial 23S ribosomal RNA". It matches the Rfam family "Bacterial large subunit ribosomal RNA", at positions 1 to 754 of the family's 2925-position model. The record is from RNAcentral. Lineage: Bacteria; Bacillati; Bacillota; Bacilli; Caryophanales; Staphylococcaceae.